This 482-nucleotide ribosomal RNA is filed under the name uncultured bacterium. RNAcentral describes it as "SSU rRNA". It matches the Rfam family "Bacterial small subunit ribosomal RNA", at positions 27 to 518 of the family's 1533-position model. The record is from RNAcentral.
GGGACGAACGCUGGCGGCGUGCCUCAUACAUGCAAGUGGAGCGACGAACCAGGAUUUAUCCUGGGGCAAAGCCGCGAACGGGUGAGUAACACGUGGGUUACCUGCCCCGAUGAUUGGGACAACCCGAGGAAACUCGGGCUAAUACCAAAUGUGUUCUUGGUCGUGAUGACCAAGAAGAAAGGAAGCCUCGGCCUCCGCAUCGGGAUGGGCCCGCGGCCCAUUAGCUAGUUGGUGGGGUAAUGGCCUACCAAGGCGACGAUGGGUAGCUGGUCUGAGAGGACGAUCAGCCACACUGGGACUGAGACACGGCCCAGACUCCUACGGGAGGCAGCAGUAGGGAAUCUUGCGCAAUGCGCGAAAGCGUGACGCAGCAACGCCGCGUGGGGGAAGACGGCCUUCGGGUUGUAACCUCUUUAGUAGGGAAGAAGCGAAAGUGACGGUACCUGCAGAAAAGCACCGGCUAACUACGUGCCAGCAGCCGC